GUUUGAUUAUGGCUCAGGAUGAACGCUAGCGGCAGGCUUAACACAUGCAAGUCGAGGGGCAGCGCGAGUAGCAAUACUUGGCGGCGACCGGCGCAAGGGUGCGUAACGCGUGAGCAACAUGCCCGUAUCAGGGGGAUAAUCCAGGGAAACUUGGUCUAAUACCCCAUAGUAAUUUUGUAAGGCAUCUUAUAAGAUUUAAAGCUUUGGUGGAUACGGAUUGGCUCGCGUGACAUUAGCUGGAUGGUAAGGUAACGGCUUACCAUGGCUAUGAUGUCUAGGGGUUCUGAGAGGAAGGUCCCCCACACUGGAACUGAGACACGGUCCAGACUCCUACGGGAGGCAGCAGUGAGGAAUAUUGGACAAUGGAUGGAAAUCUGAUCCAGCCAUGCCGCGUAGAAGGAAGAAGGUCCUAUGGAUUGUAAACUUCUUUUGUAUGGGAGCAAUAAGGCCUACGAGUAGGUUGAUGAGAGUACCAUACGAAUAAGCACCGGCUAACUCCGUGCCAGCCGCGGC
This 513-nucleotide ribosomal RNA is filed under the name uncultured bacterium. RNAcentral's name for it is "bacterial SSU rRNA". It matches the Rfam family "Bacterial small subunit ribosomal RNA", at positions 11 to 518 of the family's 1533-position model. The record is from RNAcentral.